RNAcentral lists this ribosomal RNA (498 nucleotides) under Fusarium sp. AD-2012b. RNAcentral describes it as "eukaryotic LSU rRNA". The stretch from base 120 to 273 matches the Rfam family "5.8S ribosomal RNA". Lineage: Eukaryota; Fungi; Ascomycota; Sordariomycetes; Hypocreales; Nectriaceae. The record is from RNAcentral.
AUACCUUUAUGUUGCCUCGGCGGAUCAGCCCGCGCCCCGUAAAACGGGACGGCCCGCCGCAGGAACCACAAAACUCUGAUUUUAGUGUAACUUCUGAGUCUAAAAAACAAAUAAAUCAAAACUUUCAACAACGGAUCUCUUGGUUCUGGCAUCGAUGAAGAACGCAGCAAAAUGCGAUAAGUAAUGUGAAUUGCAGAAUUCAGUGAAUCAUCGAAUCUUUGAACGCACAUUGCGCCCGCCAGUAUUCUGGCGGGCAUGCCUGUUCGAGCGUCAUUUCAACCCUCAAGCCCCCGGGUUUGGUGUUGGGGAUCGGGCUGUACUCCAGCCCGGCCCCGAAAUCUAGUGGCGGUCUCGCUGCAGCCUCCAUUGCGUAGUAGCUAACACCUCGCAACUGGAACGCGGCGCGGCCAAGCCGUUAAACCCCCAACUUCUGAAUGUUGACCUCGGAUCAGGUACGCCCACCCGCUGAACUUAAGCAUAUCAAUAAGCGGAGGAAAA